This 100-nucleotide small nuclear RNA is filed under the name Neotoma lepida (desert woodrat). Lineage: Eukaryota; Metazoa; Chordata; Mammalia; Rodentia; Cricetidae. The record is from RNAcentral.
GGCCUCUUAAAGAAUGUAUAUAAAAAUUGGAAUGAUACACAGAUUAGCAUGGCUGCGGUGCAAGGAUGACAUGCAGGUUUGUGAAGUGUUCCAUAUUAAA